UGUCGGCUGGGUGGGGACGUAACAAAGCGACCCAGGAAUACUUGGGCGUGCCUCCACCCACGCCGGCGUCGGCGGGCGUAUUUCGCCUCACAGUAGGUCGCCGCGACCCGUUGCUUUUGGGGACGUCGAAGGCCCGGACGGAUUGGUACCCUACCGGCUGGGGAUGCGGCUUCGGCUUCUCCUCUUGUCCGGUGGGCGAAACCGCCGGUGUCCUGGCUGCCCUGCGACGGUCGUAGAGACGAGCCCUCCCCCAUUCGUGGGGGGCGGCUCUCGCGGCGUGCAAAAGGUCGGUGAUCCACCCGACCCGUCUUGAAACACGGACCAAGGAGUCUAACAUGUGUGCGAGUCAGUGGGCGCACUAAACCCAGAGGCGUAAUGAAAGUGACACGGGUUCGGCUGUCGCCUCGUGUGGCAGCCGGACUCAGGGCCGAUCCCUCACCGGUUGCCCUCGCCUCUCUCCCGCGUCUCGGUAAGCCGGGUGAGCUAUUUUCCCCGGCCAAUGCUGCGGGGCUCGGGGGGA
This 520-nucleotide ribosomal RNA is filed under the name Cambarus pyronotus. RNAcentral describes it as "eukaryotic LSU rRNA". The record is from RNAcentral. Lineage: Eukaryota; Metazoa; Arthropoda; Malacostraca; Decapoda; Cambaridae.